Molecule: ribosomal RNA, 468 nt
Filed under: uncultured bacterium
Lineage: Bacteria
Description: partial 16S ribosomal RNA
Rfam family: Bacterial small subunit ribosomal RNA
Source: RNAcentral
GACGAACGCUGGCGGCGUGCUUAACACAUGCAAGUCGAACGGAAAGGCCCUGCUUUUGUGGGGUGCUCGAGUGGCGAACGGGUGAGUAACACGUGAGUAACCUGCCCUUGACUUUGGGAUAACUUCAGGAAACUGGGGCUAAUACCGGAUAGGAUCUCCUGCUGCAUGGUGGGGGUUGGAAAGUUUCGGCGGUUGGGGAUGGACUCGCGGCUUAUCAGCUUGUUGGUGGGGUAGUGGCUUACCAAGGCUUUGACGGGUAGCCGGCCUGAGAGGGUGACCGGCCACAUUGGGCCUGAGAUACGGCCCAGAAUCCUACGGGAGGCAGCAGUGGGGAAUAUUGCACAAUGGGCGGAAGCCUGAUGCAGCAACGCCGCGUGCGGGAUGACGGCCUUCGGGUUGUAAACCGCUUUCGCCUGUGACGAAGCGUGAGUGACGGUAAUGGGUAAAGAAGCACCGGCUAACUACGUG